AAUACCGCAUAAGAUUGUAAUAUCGCAUGGUAUAGCAAUUAAAGGAGCAAUCCGCUAUGAGAUGGACCCGCGUCGCAUUAGCUAGUUGGUGAGGUAACGGCCCACCAAGGCAACGAUCAGUAGCCGACCUGAGAGGGUGACCGGCCACAUUGGGACUGAGACACGGGCCCAAACUCCUACGGGAGGCAGCAGUGGGGAAUAUUGCACAAUGGGCGAAAGCCUGAUGCAGCGACGCCGCGUGAGCGAUGAAGUAUUUCGGUAUGUAAAGCUCUAUCAGCAGGGAAGAAGAAUGACGGUACCUGACUAAGAAGCACCGGCUAAAUACGUG
Molecule: ribosomal RNA, 328 nt
Filed under: uncultured bacterium
Lineage: Bacteria
Description: bacterial SSU rRNA
Rfam family: Bacterial small subunit ribosomal RNA
Source: RNAcentral